Molecule: long non-coding RNA, 1065 nt
Filed under: Anser cygnoides (Swan goose)
Lineage: Eukaryota; Metazoa; Chordata; Aves; Anseriformes; Anatidae
Description: lncRNA (ENSACDG00005002067.1)
Source: RNAcentral
CUCUUGACCAACUCCAUAGUUCAAGAACUGAGUUACCGGCAUCUUUGAAACAGUCCUUCAAGGCUCCUCCAUCUUCCCUAAAAUGCAUCAAGAAUCUCAGAACUCCACUCCUCUAGGCCUUCUAAAUGGAGAAAUGAGUCUGGUGGGGAGGCAAACAAAGGUGAUGUGGCACUUCCAGAAUGCACCUGUCCUCUUCUAAAAACAAGAAUGAUGGUCUUAGGUUUUGGCCCAACGAUGUUACGAAGAGAAUGGUAACUUCUGAACAAAAGUGAAAAUGUUGGCUGAGGCACCCUUGCUGCUCAUCUGGUGAAAGAAUGCAAGUAUAAAGGGUUGCCAGGAAACGGUCUUUGCCUGAAGAUGAGACAACUGGUGGUGGUGGUGGUUCAGCCCCCCCUUGCAAGUGCACUACUGUUCAUGGGGUCAUCCAAGGGAUGGCAGAGACAACUAGGGCCAGACGAAGCUUGCUUUCACCCUAGAAGAGAAGAUCUCUCAGAGUUGGAGAUGGCAAUUUCCAGUCCUAAGAAAUGGAUUCUAACCUGUAGAUCCUACCCGCUCUCGAGGACUCUUGAAGUGCCCUGGUUCUGGCAGUGGGAAGAAGACCCUGUCCACACUAGUCCCCCUCAGUUGCACAGGGGGGGACCCCAGACAAGUUAGUGACUUAACUUCUGUACUGUUGAACAAGUGUGGGAGGGUUCCUCAGAGUUGUGGGAGGGGAACUACUAAAGCACAAAGCUACUUCAUUCUGUGUCUUCCAACUGUUUACCUCAAUCUGGCCAUCAGAGCAAUUCUGACAGUGUGGGUGGAAAAAAAAAUGGUGAAGCAAAGUUAAGCUUUGGUGGUUCUGAUGUUCUUCAGUAGCCUGAUUUUGAAGCACAUCAGCAUCUACAUGGCAUACCUUUAUAACCAGGUUCUCUACCCGGGCAGCAAUAUCUUGCCACAGUGCAGCAGCCCAGAUGGGUUUGCCCCUGCGCUGGCAGUUGUUCUGCUUCCAUUGCUGUAACCACCCCCACAGGGCAUUUGCUACCAUCCAUGAAUCAGUAUAGAGAUAGAGAACUGGCCACUUUU